AAGCGCUUGCAAUCAGACUUGCAUGCAGUUGAUCAUCCGAUGUUCUCACCGGUGCACUCAAUUGCGUUCAGGCCAGCAUUGGUUUUGGUGGUUGGAUAAAGGCCUAGGGAAUGUAGCUUCCUUCGGGGAGUGUUAUAGCCCACCGUGUAAUACCCUGGGGGGGACUGAGGUUCGCGCAUCUGCAAGGAUGCUGGCGUAAUGGUCAUCAACGA
RNAcentral lists this ribosomal RNA (212 nucleotides) under fungal sp. Its description in RNAcentral is "partial large subunit ribosomal RNA". The record is from RNAcentral. Lineage: Eukaryota; Fungi.